Molecule: ribosomal RNA, 397 nt
Filed under: uncultured bacterium
Lineage: Bacteria
Description: partial 16S ribosomal RNA
Rfam family: Bacterial small subunit ribosomal RNA
Source: RNAcentral
AUACGUAGGUGACAAGCGUUAUCCGGAUUUACUGGGCGUAAAGGGCGUGUAGGCGGACUUGCAAGUCAGAAGUGAAAUUCCUGAGCUCAACUCGGGCGCUGCUUCUGAAACUGCAGGACUUGAGUGCUGGAGGGGAUAGCGGAAUUCCUAGUGGAGCGGUAAAAUGCACGGAUAUUAGGAAGAACACCGGUGACGAAGGCGGCUAUCUGGACAGAAACUGACGCUGAGGCGCGAAAGCAUGUGGAGCAAACAGGAUUGAAUACCCUGAUAGUCCACGCCGUAAACGAUGAAUACUAGGUGUAGGUGGUAUCGACUCCCUCUGUGCCGCAGUUAACACAAUAAGUAUUCCGCCUGGGGAGUACGGCCGCAAGGUUGAAACUCAAAGGAAUUGACGGGG